UCCCACUGUGGGAAAGAAAGUGAUACACAGUUAAAUACCUCUUUCUUAACCAAGAAGAAAGUGGGCAUGUGUGUGACAGUGAAAA
Molecule: small nucleolar RNA, 85 nt
Filed under: Cavia aperea (Brazilian guinea pig)
Lineage: Eukaryota; Metazoa; Chordata; Mammalia; Rodentia; Caviidae
Description: Small nucleolar RNA SNORA41 (ENSCAPG00000004547.1)
Source: RNAcentral